UACGUAGGUGGCAAGCGUUUGUCCGGAAUUACUGGGUGUAAAGCGCGUGUAGGCGGCAGACCAAGUCGGCGGCGAAAGCGCCCGGCUCAACUGGGCGAGGUCCGUGGAAACUGGUCAGCUGGAGGACGGUAGAGGCGAGUGGAAUUCCCGGUGUAGUGGUGAAAUGCGUAGAUAUCUGGAGGAACACCGGUGGCGAAGGCGGCAUCCUGGACCGGCAUUGACGCUGAGGCGCGAAAGCCAGGGGAGCAAAGCGGGG
Molecule: ribosomal RNA, 256 nt
Filed under: uncultured bacterium
Lineage: Bacteria
Description: partial 16S ribosomal RNA
Rfam family: Bacterial small subunit ribosomal RNA
Source: RNAcentral